AGGAAUUAACAUAGUUCAAACUGUGAAAAUUGUUGACUAUUUAAUGAGUUUCUCUUGGGCUUUCAAAAGAAAAAAAUAAGUCACAUGUGAAACAUCUCUGACCAUGACUUAUGUGGUAGCUAUCUCUCUGGCUUGAGUUUUGUUUGUUUGAUAAACGUUUGACUCAAACUUGUUUGAGUAUGUUAGCAUGCAAGUAGUUGAAGAAUUUCAUUCUACCUUUAGACCUGGUGAAAGUUGAUGCUGUAUGUUCUGAGCCAGGGCUGCACAAAAAAACACCUUUGCCUGUGAGAUGAAGAGGUGGUCUUCCUCCAAAUGUGAGCUGUGGGGGCUUCCACACACCCUGUUUCAGUGAAUUUCUGUAAGGGAAAGUGAGAGGGAACUGCAAUGGAGUGUGUAUGGGGCUUCAGCAAUAAAAGAAGAUAAAAAUAGGAGGAUUAAAUGGAUAUUCCUGUUUUGAAUCACGCUACUGAAAGAUGUUUGACCUCCUUCUGUGUAAAAGUUGAUGGAUCAUUUUUAAUAAAUCUGCUUCCAACUGGGCUACACAAUAAGGGUGCAAGGGAAUUAAACCUGGGGCUCUUGUCAGGACGAGGUUAGCCGUGAGCCACCUUGCCGCCCAGAAGUUUCUCCUCCCUGUGCGCCUCUUCCCCAAGAAUCCUCCGCUGUCCGGCAAUUAACAAGGAACAAGGGUAAAAGCUCGCAGUGCUUUCUCCGGACGACAGGAAAGGCUGGAGGAAAUGCCACCGAAGGGAUUUUUUUCUUCUCUCCGUGGGGUCGGCGCGCUGCCGCCCUGCCCGCCAUGGCCGCCCCUCGCCCGCUGCGCCGCGGGCGGCCUGCAGGGGGUGCAAGAGCUCCACUGAAG
RNAcentral lists this long non-coding RNA (859 nucleotides) under Parus major (Great Tit). Its description in RNAcentral is "lncRNA (ENSPMJG00000013889.1)". The record is from RNAcentral. Lineage: Eukaryota; Metazoa; Chordata; Aves; Passeriformes; Paridae.